GGCAACCCUAUCUCCUACUGAAAUAAAUGAAACUUGAUUCUGCCUUAGGAAGAAUUGUGACAAGAUGGCUGCCACCAUGUAACAUCCAGGCUGAGUGUUUGCCUUUCUUCUGUGCAGUGGCAUGAGAUAAUAGGCAACAGUGAGAGGACACAUGACCUCUGACAGUAUUAAAUGAAUUUUAGCUGAAGGUUGAUAAUUAUCAUAGAGAAGAAGAUAACACAUCGAGAGUUCAUUUUCCAUCCAAGCACUUGCAUUCUUUUGAAUUCUCCACACCCUGACACCGUUUCCCAUUCUGUCACUUCUUCUUACACCACCCCUCCCUCCUCAUAAAAGGGUCUCUUUAGAUUGAGACCACAGACUUUUUUUUGCUGGCAGCUGACAGGAAUUGCUUCUUUCUUCACCAAAUCCUUGCUCCAGACAGGACAAAUUACAAGAGACUUUGGUGAGCAGCAUGGAAGAAAAUGUGAGCUCUGAGAAUUCCCCCUUCCUUUCUUCAUGGGACUGGAAGAACAAUGCAAGAACUAUGGUGCUAAGGCAGUGUCCAUCCCCUCAGAGCCUGUCUCCGUCUCCUUCCUUUGAAUCUUACUCAUCCUCUCCUUGUCCGGUUGUUGUGGAGGUGCCCUGUGCCAACAGCAGCAGCAGCAGGAGUGACAGCAGCAAUAGCUUGAUGGGGUAUACCUUGGUGGAGUUUCCUGCUAUCUAUCUUCCAAACCCUGGACAGGGCAAGGGCCAGAAGGGUCCCAAAAUCAGGAUGUCAGCCCAGCGCAGGAGAAAAGCCAGUGAAAGAGAAAAGCUGCGGAUGAGGACCCUGGCCGAAGCACUGCACACUCUGCGCAACUAUCUGCCUCCUAUCUACAGCCAAAGAGGACAGCCUCUCACCAAGAUACAGACACUGAAAUACACAAUCAAGUACAUCGGUGAGCUCACAGACCUGCUGAACAGUGUCAAACAGGCGCAGAUGCCCUGAGGAGACUUGGAAGUUUAAGAUCCUUCUUUUCAGACAGACAAGCAUCACACUCUCUUACCAUCCCUCAUCCACACCCACAGGAAAAGGACAAAAAAUCAUUUUGGAUAAUGGUGAACUUAUUCCACGGAAGAUUUUUUUUCUGCUAUGAGGAGAUGUAUGGCAACAGAAUUAAAGAGGACAUUGGUUUUUUUUUGGGGGGGGGGGAAUACAGCAAAGAAGGAAUAUAAUACCUCAGAUGAUUAAGAAUCCAUCCAGCUGGUUGGCCACUGUUUGAACAGAAUGCUGGACUUGAUGGGUUUUGGUCUGAUCCAGCUUGGCUCUUAUUUUGUUGCUGGAAUCAGAAACGAUUUCUACAACAUUUAUUCUGACAGGAUUUAUAGCACACAGUUCUGCUUGAUAAUCUUUUUUACUAUUAAACAUUUUCAGUUAUUGGGAUGUGUUUUUAGAAGGUGAUCCAUGGUUGCUAAAUAAAAUGUACUUUUUAAAAUCAUGUGUAUUGGUUAGUAGGCACUUUAUGUUAGCAGCAAGAAGGAAGUAUAGUAUGUAUACGUAGUUGAAGAAUAGUCUUUCGUGAAUCCAUAUGCUAUAGUACAAUAAAAAAAUGUCUUUAAUAGUAAUUUUUUUUAAAAGGAAAUAUCCAGUUCUUUGUACUGGUUCUUAAUACUGAGUAGUUAUUUUCCUAUUGUUAUUUUUAUUAUUAUUGUUACUAUUAUUUAGAAUAUGUUUUUCUUUUGUCUAAUGUCAGUAAUUAGCUCCAAAAAUGUUAUUCUUCUAAUAAACAGUACAAUGUUUUAGGUCUA
RNA transcript from Heteronotia binoei (common prickly gecko), 1767 nucleotides. It is a transcript of the gene named mesogenin 1, with no coding region annotated. The record is from RefSeq and is a predicted model, not a curated record. The transcript is spliced from 2 exons. NCBI's taxonomy places the organism in Eukaryota, Metazoa, Chordata, Lepidosauria, Squamata, Gekkonidae.